RNAcentral lists this small nuclear RNA (337 nucleotides) under Meriones unguiculatus (Mongolian gerbil). Its description in RNAcentral is "7SK RNA (ENSMUGG00000012439.1)". It matches the Rfam family "7SK RNA". From Rfam's summary of the family: 7SK was discovered as an abundant small nuclear RNA in the mid-70s but a possible function has only recently been suggested. Lineage: Eukaryota; Metazoa; Chordata; Mammalia; Rodentia; Muridae. The record is from RNAcentral.
GGGCGUGAGGGUGAUCUGGCUGUGACGUCUGUCACUAUCUUAAUCACCAGGUUAUUAUUUUUUUUGCUGACUUGGCUGGCUAGGUGUUCCCUACCUCCCUCAUUGCUCCGCAUCCAUCCCUCCUGAAGCUGUGCACUUAGUAGGCUGAAGAAGACGGCCUUCCAGGAUAUAAGAAGAUGCCCUCCCACUGUAGAGGAGGACCACUCUUAGGCCAAAGGUAGCUACACUCCCUGAUAGAACCUCCAAACAAGCUCUCAAAGGGUGUCAAAACCGCUAUGCAAAUGAUGUUAUAAUGAAGCCAAGGUCUCUUGGGAAUAUGGCACGUUUGUUAGUAUUC